UGGGGAAUAUUGGACAAUGGGCGAAAGCCUGAUCCAGCCAUGCCGCGUGUGUGAAGAAGGUCUUCGGAUUGUAAAGCACUUUAAGUUGGGAGGAAGGGCAGUUACCUAAUACGUAAUUGUUUUGACGUUACCGACAGAAUAAGCACCGGCUAACUCUGUGCCAGCAGCCGCGGUAAUACAGAGGGUGCAAGCGUUAAUCGGAAUUACUGGGCGUAAAGCGCGCGUAGGUGGUUCGUUAAGUUGGAUGUGAAAUCCCCGGGCUCAACCUGGGAACUGCAUUCAAAACUGUCGAGCUAGA
This 298-nucleotide ribosomal RNA is filed under the name uncultured Pseudomonas sp. RNAcentral's name for it is "partial 16S ribosomal RNA". It matches the Rfam family "Bacterial small subunit ribosomal RNA", at positions 355 to 645 of the family's 1533-position model. Lineage: Bacteria; Pseudomonadati; Pseudomonadota; Gammaproteobacteria; Pseudomonadales; Pseudomonadaceae. The record is from RNAcentral.